AUCGCCUACGUUCAUUUUCGUCUGCAUUGUUUAACACUACAGGAAACUAAAUAAACCGUUCAUUGAGAUAUAACAGUCUCACUGCCAGAGAGAGUUUCUUUCACCUAGAAAAAUUAAACAGUUAAAUGGAAACAAGUUAGUGAACAGAACCGGAUCAAUGUAAAUCAAUAAAAUCGAUGAGGAAACAUAAAAACAAUCUACAUAUAGCUUAUUUCCUAACCUAAACUUUUAUGUUUCUGUUUCUUUCCAAGUAUAUUUUUUUCUAAGGAAAUUUGAAGUUUGUUUUAAUUUUUAAUUAUUAUAAUUAUUAUAUUAAUAUAAUUUUGUAUAAAUUUGUGAUCAUAGAAAUUAUAAUUAAAUACAAUUCAACAUUAUCACAAUUAGGAUAUUCAAAUAAAGUUGUUAAAACAAAUUUUUGCAUUUGUAAAUCAUAUGUAUAUGAAUUAUAAGAAUUCUUCUAUAUGUAUUACUGACGUAUGGGUAACGAAUGUCAAUCAGAUAUGUAAGCAGACGUAUUGUGGCUAUAAAUUGAUCAUUUUACCUGUACAUUUCCAGGGGCCACAUAUAAGGUGUGUCGCUAUAAAACGUAUGUGGAGCGUACGAGGGCUAGGCAUGGCACACCCAUGAUAAAUAGAAUAUAAUAAAUUACGUAAUUGUAAUCCUUAUGAAUUACUUUGACUUUAAAAAAUCAACAUUUAAUUAAUUUUUUAAACUCUUAUUGUGAAUAUAGGACCGAAUCAAGGCAGGACUCGCCGACAAGAUCAAUAAGCAACGUACCGACCCUUCUUCGCAAGGUUUUUAAUGCUUUCUUAUAAAUGCCCUUUCACGAAGCCUUUAUACAUUGGACCCAUUCCUACAAAAAUCCAGAUGUCUACUAUGAAGCGAAAAUGAUCCAUACAGAAUAUACGUAAUCUUCAACAAGAGAUAUUUCCAUGAUUUUUUUUAUAAAAAUAAUAAUUGCAAUAUGUGCAAUUGUAAAUUUGGUAAAUUGAAUAAUUAA
Long non-coding RNA from Apis mellifera (honey bee), 1000 nucleotides. RefSeq lists it as uncharacterized. Lineage: Eukaryota; Metazoa; Arthropoda; Insecta; Hymenoptera; Apidae. The transcript has 3 exons. The record is from RefSeq and is a predicted model, not a curated record.